This is a long non-coding RNA of Mobula hypostoma (lesser devil ray), 652 nucleotides long. RefSeq lists it as uncharacterized. The record is from RefSeq and is a predicted model, not a curated record. The transcript has 3 exons. NCBI's taxonomy places the organism in Eukaryota, Metazoa, Chordata, Chondrichthyes, Myliobatiformes, Myliobatidae.
CCGGAGCCCGGUGGACGUAGCGCGAAAGGGCUCUUCAGAUUAGCGGCAAAGAUCUCGGUCCAGCGGUUUGGGGAGAAAAUAUUACCCCACCCACCAUUAAGCGUUCUGUCGCAAAGGGAAAACUCGAUAUGACGGCGAACUCAAUUCUCCUGAAGAGGGAACGUUUUAGAAAUUACUUUAUUGAUGCCACAUUUGAAGUGCUUGAGCAGAGGAUCUGGUGAUGCAAGUGCGUAUGAAAGACUGAGUACAUCUUAGAAGGAGCUUUUGCUUUGUCAGAACCUGCUAUAUUCUACAUAAUCCACCUGUCAUGAAGGUGCUGCCCAUUUCCCAAUGAUCACUGCAAAAGGAAGAGAAAACAGGACAAUAAAAAAUAGAAAGGCUGGAACAAAAGUUUCUCUCUGUACAUACAUCAAGAAUAAUGUUAACAAUCCUGCAAUUUAUUAAGAAGCUAAUGGAAUCAUUAUCUGAACUAGGAAAAUGCAAGCAAAAGAACUUAAGUGUUAUUAAGGCUUGGAAGCUAAAGAUAAUAACUUACAUAAUGUUGUAUAAGUGCAAGUAAUGUAUAUUUCUACAAGUGAGAGUUGACUUCAAUAUGUUGCUACUGUUGAAUUCUCCAUGAUAUCUUUGAGAUCACUGAUGAAUAAAAAUUUAC